AGUGAACGCUGGCGGUAGGCCUAACACAUGCAAGUCGAACGGCAGCACAGUAAGAGCUUGCUCUUACGGGUGGCGAGUGGCGGACGGGUGAGUAAUACAUCGGAAUCUACUUUUUCGUGGGGGAUAACGUAGGGAAACUUACGCUAAUACCUCAUACGACCUACGGGUGAAAGCAGGGGAUCUUCGGACCUUGCGCGAUUGAAUGAGCCGAUGUCGGAUUAGCUAGUUGGCGGGGUAAAGGCCCACCAAGGCGACGAUCCGUAGCUGGUCUGAGAGGAUGAUCAGCCACACUGGAACUGAGACACGGUCCAGACUCCUACGGGAGGCAGCAGUGGGGAAUAUUGGACAAUGGGCGCAAGCCUGAUCCAGCCAUACCGCGUGGGUGAAGAAGGCCUUCGGGUUGUAAAGCCCUUUUGUUGGGAAAGAAAAGCAGCAGGUUAAUACCCCGCUGUUCUGACGGUACCCAAAGAAUAAGCACCGGCUAACUUCGUG
This 492-nucleotide ribosomal RNA is filed under the name uncultured bacterium. RNAcentral describes it as "partial 16S ribosomal RNA". It matches the Rfam family "Bacterial small subunit ribosomal RNA", at positions 29 to 507 of the family's 1533-position model. The record is from RNAcentral.